Molecule: ribosomal RNA, 496 nt
Filed under: uncultured bacterium
Lineage: Bacteria
Description: partial 16S ribosomal RNA
Rfam family: Bacterial small subunit ribosomal RNA
Source: RNAcentral
GACGAACGCUGGCGGCGUGCCUAAUACAUGCAAGUUGAGCGCUGAAGGUUGGUACUUGUACCAACUGGAUGAGCAGCGAACGGGUGAGUAACGCGUGGGGAAUCUGCCUUUGAGCGGGGGACAACAUUGGAAACGAAAGCUAAUAACGCAAUAAAACUUUAAAAACAAGGUUUAAGGUUUAAAGAAGCAAUUGCAUAACCCAAAGAUGAUUCCGCGUUGUAUUUGCUAGUUGGGGAGGUAAAGGCUCACCAAGGCGAUGAUACAUAGCCGACCUGAGAGGGUGAUCGGCCACAUUGGGACUGAGACACGGCCCAAACUCCUACGGGAGGCAGCAGUAGGGAAUCUUCGGCAAUGGACGAAAGUCUGACCGAGCAACGCCGCGUGAGUGAAGAAGGUUUUCGGAUCGUAAAACUCUGUUGGUAGAGAAGAACGUUGGUGAGAGUGGAAAGCUCAUCAAGUGACGGUAACUACCCAGAAAGGGACGGCUAACUACGUG